RNAcentral lists this ribosomal RNA (255 nucleotides) under uncultured bacterium. RNAcentral's name for it is "partial 16S ribosomal RNA". It matches the Rfam family "Bacterial small subunit ribosomal RNA", at positions 524 to 776 of the family's 1533-position model. The record is from RNAcentral.
UACGGGGGGGAGCAAGCGUUGUUCGGAUUUACUGGGCGUAAAGGGCGCGUAGGCGGCGUGACAAGUCACUUGUGAAAUCUCCGGGCUUAACUCGGAACGGUCAAGUGAUACUGUCGUGCUAGAGUACAGAAGGGGCAACUGGAAUUCUCGGUGUAGCGGUGAAAUGCGUAGAUAUCGGGAGGAACACCCGUAGCGAAGGCGGCACUCUGGGCCGGUACUGACGCUGAGGAGCGAAAGCGUGGGGGAGCAAACAGG